AUUGAACGCUGGCGGCAUGCUUUACACAUGCAAGUCGAACGGUAACAGGUUAAGCUGACGAGUGGCGAACGGGUGAGUAAUGCAUCGGAACGUGCCCGAUCGUGGGGGAUAACGCAGCGAAAGCUGCGCUAAUACCGCAUACGAUCUGAGGAUGUACGCGGGGGACCGUAAGGCCUCGCGCGAUCGGAGCGGGCGCUGUCGGAUUAGGUAGUUGGUGGGGUAAAGGCUCACCAAGCCGACGAUCUGUAGCUGGUCUGAGAGGACGACCAGCCACACUGGGACUGAGACACGGCCCAGACUCCUACGGGAGGCAGCAGUGGGGAAUUUUGGACAAUGGGCGCAAGCCUGAUCCAGCAAUGCCGCGUGCAGGAAGAAGGCCUUCGGGUUGUAAACUGCUUUUGUACGGAGCGAAAAGGCUCUGUCUAAUACAGGGGGCUCAUGACGGUACCGUAAGAAUAAGCACCGGCUAACUACGUG
RNAcentral lists this ribosomal RNA (477 nucleotides) under uncultured bacterium. RNAcentral's name for it is "partial 16S ribosomal RNA". It matches the Rfam family "Bacterial small subunit ribosomal RNA", at positions 30 to 507 of the family's 1533-position model. The record is from RNAcentral.